Molecule: long non-coding RNA, 1003 nt
Organism: Apis cerana (Asiatic honeybee)
Lineage: Eukaryota; Metazoa; Arthropoda; Insecta; Hymenoptera; Apidae
Source: RefSeq, a predicted model, not a curated record
UUUCUAUAAAAGAAUAGUCCAAUAGUAUUUCUUAAAUUAACCUUAAUAAUAAUAAUUAUUAAUUAUCAUUUAAAAAUCAGCUGCAAUUACAUAAUAAUAAUAAAAUCUGCGAUUUAUUUAUAACCAAUAAAAUAAUCAAAGAAUAAAUAACUUAAAUAUAACAUAUAAAAUUCAAGAUUACCAACAUAAUAUACAAAAAAAUUUUAUGGUCAUUUUAUGGUAUGUAGCAAUAUUCAUGUUAAACAUGAAAUAAGUUUACGUUACCGUUUUAUUAUAUGCGUAUUAAAAAAAAUUGUUAUAAUCUAAUUUAUUUAAUUUAAUCAAAUACUUAUUUGUACUUAUAUUCGAAUAUAUUUUUUUUUAUUUUUCUGUAAAAGUAUUUCAAAUUAAAAUGUCUAAAAACGAACGAGGUAUAUUUCAACAGAUUUUUAAACAUUUUAUUGCAUCAUUAAAAAUAAAUCAACAUAAAUUAAUUGGCGAAGAUUAUUAUGGUACAAAAUAUUAUGAAAUACAAAAGUCAAAUUCUUCAAGAAAUCCACGAUAUUUUAUACCCGUAAAUAAUGAUAAUCACGAGCAAGAAUUACCUGUAGAAUGGGAGGCAUGGUUAAGAUAUCGUAGAAAAGUUCCACCAUCAAAAGAAGAAAUAGAAAAAAAUUAUAAAUUAAAAAUGAUGAUAAAACAAAAUUCUGCACAAAUAGAAGCAAAAUAUUCAAGUAAUAAAUCGCAAAAAUCAACAUUACAUAAUAAAGAAUAUACCUCAUUUCCAGUUUAUGAUGAAUAUAAAAAUUAUGGACAAAACUAUAACAUAAAAUAUAAAAAAAACAAAGAAAAUAAUGAUUAGAUCAGGUAUAAUUAAAUUAUGCAUCUUUUUAGAAUGUUUAAAGUUAAUAAAAUUUAGUAAAUAUGUACAAACUUUAUUGUAACAUAUAAUUGUAUUAUGACAUAUAAUUUAUAUGUAUUAUUUGUUUAUAGCCUAUGAAUAAAACAAUUUAUUAAUAUCCUA